This 17-nucleotide ribosomal RNA is filed under the name Microcystis sp. AICB 35. Its description in RNAcentral is "partial 23S ribosomal RNA". Lineage: Bacteria; Bacillati; Cyanobacteriota; Cyanophyceae; Chroococcales; Microcystaceae. The record is from RNAcentral.
GGUCAAGCUAAUAAGGC